This 1312-nucleotide ribosomal RNA is filed under the name uncultured bacterium. RNAcentral describes it as "bacterial SSU rRNA". It matches the Rfam family "Bacterial small subunit ribosomal RNA", at positions 66 to 1387 of the family's 1533-position model. The record is from RNAcentral.
CCCCUGAAUUGAUUCUUCGGAUGAUUUUCAGUUGACUGAGCGGCGGACGGGUGAGUAACGCGUGGGCCCCCCGCCCCAUACCGGGGGAUAACAGCUGGAAACGGCUGCUAACACCGCAUAAGCGCACAGAGCUGCAUGGCUCGGUGUGAAACACUCCGGUGGUAUGGGAUGGGCCCGCGUCUGAUUAGGCAGUUGGCGGGGUAACGGCCCACCAAACCGACGAUCAGUAGCCGGCCUGAGAGGGCGACCGGCCACAUUGGGACUGAGACACGGCCCAAACUCCUACGGGAGGCAGCAGUGGGGAAUAUUGCACAGUGGGGGAAACCCUGAUGCAGCGACGCCGCGUGAGCGAAGAAGUAUUUCGGUAUGUAAAGCUCUAUCAGCAGGGAAAAUAAUGACGGUACCUGACUAAGACCCCCCCGCUAACUACGUGCCACCAGCCGCGGUAAUACGUAGGGGGCAAGCGUUAUCCGGAUUUACUGGGUGUAAAGGGAGCGUAGACGGCAAGGCAAGUCUGAUGUGAAAACCCAGGGCUUAACCCUGGGACUGCAUUGGAAACUGUCUGGCUCGAGUGCCGGAGAGGUAAGCGGAAUUCCUAGUGUAGCGGUGAAAUGCGUAGAUAUUUAGGAAGAACACCAGUGGCGAAGGCGGCUUACUGGACGGUAACUGACGUUGAGGCUUCGAAAGCGUGGGGAGCAAACAAGAUCCCAUACCCUGGUAGUCCACGCCGUAAACGAGGAAUGCUAGUGGUUGGGGAGCAAAGUUCUUCGUGCCGCCGCAAACGCAUAAAGCAUUCCACUGGGGAGUACGUUCGCAAGAAUGAAACUCAAAGGAAUUGACGGGGACCCGCACAAGCGGUGGAGCAUGUGUUUUAAUUCGAAGCAACGCGAAGAACCUUACCAAGUCUUGACAUCCCGAUGACCGGUUCGUAAUGGAACCUUCUCUUCGGAGCAUCGGUGACAGGUGGUGCAUGGUUGUCGUCAGCUCGUGUCGUGAGAUGUUGGGUUAAGUCCCGCAACGAGCGCAACCCUUAUCUUCAGUAGCCAGCAUUAAGGAUGGGCACUCUGGAGAGACUGCCAGGGAUAACCUGGAGGAAGGUGGGGAUGACGUCAAAUCAUCAUGCCCCUUAUGACUUGGGCUACACACGUGCUACAAUGGCGUAAACAAAGGGAAGCGAGAGCGUGAGCUUAAGCAAAUCUCAAAAAUAACGUCUCAGUUCGGAUUGUAGUCUGCAACUCGACUACAUGAAGCUGGAAUCGCUAGUAAUCGCGAAUCAGAAUGUCGCGGUGAAUACGUUCCCGGGUCUUGCACA